Arabidopsis thaliana (thale cress) is the source of this 298-nucleotide long non-coding RNA. RefSeq annotates it as other RNA. Lineage: Eukaryota; Viridiplantae; Streptophyta; Magnoliopsida; Brassicales; Brassicaceae. The record is from RefSeq. The transcript has a single exon.
CAAGUUCCCAAGAGAUUCUCACCGCCGGGAUUAGUUUUUUUACCUCGGAGAAGUGAAAACUCACAACAGCAAGAAAAUUGGAUUUUACACCAAUCAGUUCUUCUGGCGGCUAAAAAUAUGAAUGAGGUGGGGAGUGAUUUACGACGAUUAUUGGUAAUGUUUUCGAAACUUUAUAUAGAAAGUUAGAAACUCAUAAAAGAAAAAAAAUUGACUAGUUAAAAUAAAUUAAUAAAAUCUAGCUUUUUUAUUUUAUCAAUUUUUUUCGGAUGGAAGUAUCUGGGGAAAAAUUAGAGAUCUG